This 399-nucleotide unclassified non-coding RNA is filed under the name uncultured fungus. RNAcentral describes it as "partial contains ITS1, 5.8S rRNA and ITS2". The stretch from base 60 to 214 matches the Rfam family "5.8S ribosomal RNA". Lineage: Eukaryota; Fungi. The record is from RNAcentral.
AUAUAUAUAUACUCAGAUCAUAGAAUGUACAUUUUGCCUUUAAAAAAGCAAUCAAAUACAACUUUCAACAACGGAUCUCUUGGCUCUCGCAUCGAUGAAGAACGCAGCGAAAUGCGAUAAGUAAUGUGAAUUGCAGAUUUUCAGUGAAUCAUCGAAUCUUUGAACGCACCUUGCGCUCCUUGGUAUUCCGAGGAGCAUGCCUGUUUGAGUGUCAUUAAAUCCUCAACCCCGUCCGUUGGUCGGGGCUUGGACUUUGGAGCGUGCUGGCGAAGGUCGGCUCCUCUUUAAAUGCAUCAGCGGAGAAAAACAAACCUUUUUUCCCCCUUCAGCGUGAUAACUGCGUUGCGCUGUGGUCGCGAAAGGGUCCGCUCAUAAUUGUCCUCGGACAAACACCGAAUC